UCAAAUUGCUGAUUGUCAAUUAAUUAGUUUUUUUAACCAUCUCAAGGUCAAUUUUGCAAUCAGCACUCCGCAGUGAACGCUUUGCACAUGUUUAAAGACUUACAUCUGAUCGUGCAUUUUGCUGCCAAAAAGCAUUAGCUCACUUCUACAUGUAACCAACCAGUAAUAGGGCCACACCCUGGUUACACUAGUGGUUUUGCACUUAUGUUGCUGUUCUAAUAAGACAUGACCGAGGCAUUUAUGCAAAAUACAUUUAUUCUGGUGAUGCAGAUGAGCCUUUGUUUUCUCUACGUCUAGCUUUGUUCAUUCCUGCCCUCUCCAAGUGACCUGAAAUACAACUAGGGAAGCUGAAUGGCAGUAUCUUCCUGCUCUCCUUAUACCUGGUUGUAGUAGGUAGGCAUCCUUCUCUCUAUGGAACAGUGCAGAUGAGAAAGGCACAUGUCUAGAAAAUGAGGAGAAAAUCAUGGAAGUCCCAGAAGACCUUGAAUGCUCUCCGAAGUUUUGGACUGUAUUCAGGAGCAUGAGAGCAUUGUGCUUCAGUGGGAUGGGUGGAGGCCAUCAUGUAUUCAUAAGGAAGAACUGUGGUGAGGGAAAUGCUGCAGCAGAUAUGGACCUGAUUAACACUGUGUCCUAAUGUUAGUGAGAUACAGUGUUUGUAGCAAGAGCAGGUAGAAAUAUGUUGGGUUUCCUAAUUUGUUUUCUUGGUUCUCAGCUAAAAUUAAUGUAUAGCAGAAUCAUUCCCCUGAAUUCCAGCCCUCUUCUGUGCUUUUUUCCAAAAGCUUUUUGUUUCCUAAUGGAAAGAAGAGCCAUGCUGCCCACCCACAUAACAACAGUGUGUUUCACAGCAGUUGCAUGACUCAAGAUUUAAUGCAUGCAAUCAUGAAUUGUUCCUUUCCUUUUCCUAUCACUGAAGAGUAGAUCACUGGGUAGAUAUGCUAUCAUUGUACACCCUCAGCUUUGGGAGCAUUUUUGAUCUACACAAUUCUUGUGGAUUGCAUAUCUUUGUAAUGUAAUUUUCCAUUAAGCAGAGGAUAAUUUAGAGUUAAAGCUGAACAUCUGUUUUUGACAGGGAACAAAGAAAAACAGUUUUGGUUGUGAAACCCAAACUCCUUUGACAAAAAUGUAAUAUUUUACUGCAGAUACACUUGCUUAAGUCUUCUUGACAUCACUUUAUGCACUGAUAACGAUGUGACUUUUAAGGCUGACCUUCAUUUUCUUGCAGGGCAGAUGUGACACUGUGAUGUCUGGGAUUUUACCUGCCGUGAGCAAUGCAGAAUUAGCCUGUAGACCUCAUUGUUAUGAAUGGAAAUGCUGCAUAUACAUAAAAUACAGCCAAGCCAUUGUGCCACUGGCCAAUAGUUGAAAAAAAAUAAUCAAUCUGUUUAUGAAUCAUAUAUUUUGUCAUCCUAAAACACAUAAAAAGCAAGAUUUUUUAAUGGCUAUUAUUGAAACAAAACAACUGGAAGAAUGAACAUUUUGAUCAGAGAGUUUUAGGCAUAGACAAGCUACAAAAAGCGACAAAAAUCAUCAGCUUAAUUUAAUGCAGAUGAUUUCUAAAUGUUGGAAUAUCUUCUUUUCGAGUAGCCCUCUGUAAACACUGCAAUCUUUGGCAAAGUGAUUGGAAGAUCCCCUGGGGUAUAGCAGAUAAUGUCUUUCACCAAGACUAUUCUUUCAGGAAACCUUGAGGCUGCAAUUAGUGCAAAGUGAAUCACAGCACUGCGCCAAACUGAUGUAAGUUAGGGCAUUUGGAAAACCUGGGGGUCUUCCUAGAGUUGAAAGCAGAAAGCGUAAGGAUUAUCAAGCAGCAACUACAAGUCAUAUUUUCUUCCAAUGAGAAUGAAUUCUAUUGCAUUUUUUAAUUAUCCUUUGGGAUUAUACAAUUAUGUGGAAGAAAUGUACAUUGUAAAACUUCCUCUGAGAAAGAUGGAAAGCUCUUGUUUGAGUUUGUAUGUAGGCAAUUACCAGUAAUAGCUUUUGAAAAAUCACAGUAAAACAAAUUUAAGUAAAACUAAAUGUGGAAGUUAGUUAACAAGUACAUCACAUAAGUCUUCUGG
Gallus gallus (chicken) is the source of this 2054-nucleotide long non-coding RNA. The record is from Ensembl. Lineage: Eukaryota; Metazoa; Chordata; Aves; Galliformes; Phasianidae.